RNAcentral lists this ribosomal RNA (547 nucleotides) under uncultured Mycobacterium sp. Its description in RNAcentral is "bacterial SSU rRNA". It matches the Rfam family "Bacterial small subunit ribosomal RNA", at positions 54 to 606 of the family's 1533-position model. Lineage: Bacteria; Bacillati; Actinomycetota; Actinomycetes; Mycobacteriales; Mycobacteriaceae. The record is from RNAcentral.
CAUGCAAGUCGAACGGAAAGGCCCUUCGGGGUACACGAGUGGCGAACGGGUGAGUAACACGUGGGUAAUCUGCCCUGCACUUUGGGAUAAGCCUGGGAAACUGGGUCUAAUACCGAAUAGGACCACGGGAUGCAUGUCCUGUGGUGGAAAGCUUUUGCGGUGUGGGAUGGGCCCGCGGCCUAUCAGCUUGUUGGUGGGGUGAUGGCCUACCAAGGCGACGACGGGUAGCCGGCCUGAGAGGGUGUCCGGCCACACUGGGACUGAGAUACGGCCCAGACUCCUACGGGAGGCAGCAGUGGGGAAUAUUGCACAAUGGGCGGAAGCCUGAUGCAGCGACGCCGCGUGGGGGAUGACGGCCUUCGGGUUGUAAACCUCUUUCACCAUCGACGAAGGUUCGAGGUUUCUCGGAUUGACGGUAGGUGGAGAAGAAGCACCGGCCAACUACGUGCCAGCAGCCGCGGUAAUACGUAGGGUGCGAGCGUUGUCCGGAAUUACUGGGCGUAAAGAGCUCGUAGGUGGUUUGUCGCGUUGUUCGUGAAAACUCACA